Anolis carolinensis (green anole) is the source of this 3295-nucleotide long non-coding RNA. RefSeq lists it as uncharacterized. NCBI's taxonomy places the organism in Eukaryota, Metazoa, Chordata, Lepidosauria, Squamata, Anolidae. The transcript has 2 exons. The record is from RefSeq and is a predicted model, not a curated record.
GUGGACAGGGAUGUGCCAAUAGCUUAUCUUCCUCAGGCAGUGAAGUGCCUUGAGCUAAUCCUGUCAGCAAUUAUAUAUUUUUUUCCAACUGUAUAUAAGCAGGCAAGUUAUAGCUACUGCUACAAUACUUGUCCUUCUAACCAAGAAUCUGAACGCCAUUUCUGUUUGCGGGUGAAGUGGAGAUGUCUGAUGGCAGAACAAGACAGAAGGGAAGAAGAGAGGAUGCCAUCACAGAAGCCCAGACCCCAUGGCACAAUCAGCCCUGAUUGCUUCAUUGCGGAAUGGUGGAGGACCAGUGAUGGGUACCACACAAAUAUGUAUUAUAGGGAUUGUCGCCAAAUGUGACACUCCUGCUACUGUGCUGGUUUCUACUGUCAAGCAAUACAGUCCUCAGAAUCUUCACUCAGUACAAAAUGCUUUUUCCUGUUUCCAUGGUUUUAUGGUUAUCUGAAUCUUAUAACAGAAGCCAUCAUAAACGAAUUUAACUUUCUGAAAAAAGACAAUAAAGUUACAAUAGCAGCUGUAGCCUCAAAAUGCUUGGCACGGUUUUUCAGAGGGGAUAGCAAAGUGAGAGAAUAUAUUAUGGUAAUUUGUUGAGAGUGAUUUGAUUGUGUGUUCCUGCAUGACAGGGAUUAGACUGGAUGGUCCUUGUGGUCUCUUCCAGCUCUGUGAAUCUAUGAUUUUAUAUAACAGUGGUUCUCAACCUGGAGCCCCAAGGUGUUUUUUGGCCUCCAACUCCCAGAAAUCCUAACAGCUGGUAAACUGGCUGAGAUUUCUGGGAGCUGUAGGCCAAAAACCUCUGGGGACCCCAGGUUGAGUACCACUGUUAACAUAAUGAUGGAUGUGGUAUCAAACAUAAGGGUUGUCUACACGGGCAUGAAAGAUUGUACUCACCUCAUAUCCAGUAUUCAUUUAAUACAUGAUGUUCCUCAGGAUUCAAAUCCAGUUCAGUUUUUUUUUAACCCCUGAGGGCUUAAAUCUAAUGUUUAAAAAUGAUGCUUUAUCCCACACUUUUCUGUAAAAACUAAAUUAUUUUAUCUAUGCCCAGUCAGCUGUGUUCAGCUGUGAGGUGGCGUUGUAGGCACUUGUAGAGGGGAGGGGAGGAGACCUGAUUCUUCCUUCCAUGAAAAGCUACACAUUUUGUCAGCACACAAUCAUCUUUAUUUUUUAAAUACAUUUGUGUGUAUAUAAUCACCAUUCUUUUUGAAGGUGCAUUUCUGUGGAUAAUUGCAUAGUGAUAUUAAUACACUUCCAUCUAUCAGCAUUUAAAUACCAUCUGCCUUGUUUUACUUAAUAGAAUGGCUAAUGCCCUGUCAAAGCAUAUGUAUAAAAUGCAGAUAUAUGUAUAUACCUAUAUUUGCAUGCAUGAGGGAGGGGUUGAGAAUGAAGUGCUCAAUCUCAUGUGGAUAGAAAUAAUGUAAAGUAUAUUGCAUGUGAUCAUCACAGGACAAUCCUUUAACAUUUUAAUAGUGAUAGUCAACAUGGUGCUGUGGUUUGAGCAUUAGACUAUGAUGCUGAAGAACUUUGGAAAAUUACACAUUUGCAGGUUUAGAAAACCCCAUACCUUAAGACUGCAAUAGGUUGGAAAUUAUUAGAAGGCACGGUAAAACAAUGUAUGUCCGUCCCCAGGUUUUCUGUUCCGUUAGUAUUAUGUCACCUUCUCCAUACAACAACCUUACCAUUGUUAUUCCUAUUGUUAUGAUCAUAACCUAAAAAUACCCACAUCUUUUUAUUAUUUUUAAUCUUUCUAGUAAGCUUGAAUUCAUUCUGCUCUUUGGUUUCUCUUACCUUUCCCCUAUACUACUGGCUAUUUAUUUGAAUUUCUCUUUGGUGAUUUCCCCCCUUUUUCCAUUUUUUGUAGAUGUCUGUUUUAAAUCUGUGUCCAGUAGAAACGUCUUUAGUCAUCCACCCUGCUUUUCAAAGAUAUAUCCCAUUUUUCCUCCUCAUUGGAACAGUUUGAAAUUGUGCUUUCAAUAGCUCAUUUUUAAUAAACACCCAUCCAUCAUGAAUUCCCCUCUCUUUAGUACUUCUUAUCAUGGGGUCACACCCAAUAUUUCCCCAGGUUUGCUGAAACCAACUUUCUAGAAUGCAUAUCUGACUUUCACUUGGCAUCUCUUUUCCGCAAAAUAACAUACCCUAUUAUAGUCUAUCCUUCUCCCAUAAUUGUAUAAAUAUGCUGAAUAUGUGAGGUUUUGUACUGUAUCUGAAAAAGUGGGCUUAUAGCCACUAAAGUAAUAAUAGGAAACCUACUCUGCUGGCCAGAGCCAGAAUGGUAUCUUGAGUUGGUUUAAACAACUAAUUUUAAAGUAGAUAUAACUGAUUUUAAUGUUUGUUCAUAUUUAUAGUUAUUUUAAGUCCCGGCAUGGAAUGCUUGCUGUAUCUAUGUUGUGCUCGAUCUUGAGUCCCCUUCGGAGUGAGAAGGGUGAAAUAUAAAUGUUUUAAAUAAAUAAUAAAAUAAAGCUCAUGCUAAAAGGAAACCAGUUAGUCUUAAAGGUGCUGCCAUAUCAAUUUUUUUCUCCCCUUCCCUUCUUUCUUGUUAUGUUACAAGAAACUAAAGACUUCACGGCACAAGGUCUAGAAGUGCAAUGCAAAACCAUUCUUAUAGAGAUCUGAAACAUAGCAGGAUAGCCACUCUUCAUGUUGCACCAUCUUGCUGUAAAUGCUUUCAAAAGCUGAAGUGUGUUUGAGGCAAUGUAGUGUGUUCAGGAGCAUUUCCAUUCAUAGUUAUUUCACAUGUCUGCAAUAGUCUGACAUUAGGAAAAGAAGCAAAUAGUUCAAGUGUAAAUCCACACUGUUGGCCACAAAUCACAUUCCAGCAAAAGGUCCUGGGAUUAGUUACAUGGGACAUGAAUUCAUUGACUGUUAAGGAAGGCUAAUUGGUAGCCUUGCAGAAAUGGUUUAUCUUCAAUAUGAAACACCCAUUUUCUUUGCAGUCGCCAUCCUGCUCAACAUUUACUGAAUUACUUCACACAUUUCCAAAAAUAUUCAUGCUUUGAUAAUCCAUAAUAACUUUUCUGAUCUGGUGCAAUAUUAGACAUAGGGUGGGAUAAAAAUAUUGAAAUGCAUACAUACAAAUAUUUGAACAUGGGAAUUUGGACCUGCAACAGAUAGCUGAAAUAAGAUCUUGUGUUUCUCAAGUGUUUUAUGAUUGUGAUUUUUUAAUGCCUUUUAAAUUUAUUUGUGUGUUUUUGUAUUUGAUAUUAUUGUAUGUUGGUUUUAUAUCUGUAAGCCGCCCCGAGUCCCUCUGGGGAGAUGGUGGCGGGGUACAAAAAUAAAAUUAUUAUUAUGAUUAUUA